RNA transcript from Rosa chinensis, 1522 nucleotides. RefSeq lists it as uncharacterized. NCBI's taxonomy places the organism in Eukaryota, Viridiplantae, Streptophyta, Magnoliopsida, Rosales, Rosaceae. The record is from RefSeq and is a predicted model, not a curated record. The transcript has 3 exons.
GGGGAUACACGGUACUGCAUCUUGCUCCUACACGAGACGUGUCCCAAACAAUGCACCUGUUGGCCCUGGCUGUGAACUAGUUUGUAGGAUCUGUGAAAGUCCGUUUUCAGGCACCUGUUGUGGUCUAGAUGAAGGCCGUGCUAUUCUCAAAGAGUGCAUAAUUUGUGGGGCGUACGGUGACCACUGGCCUAGAUGGUGCCCACGCAACAAUCGAGUCGACAAGAAACUUUUGGACCUUCCUCCUGGUGUCUUUUACGUGGAUUUCUCACGCGGCGCUAGUGCUCCUGGCAUGCUCCUUAUUCUUGUUUUAAGAUUUAUGAGGAAGCCAUUCUUUGUUACGUUGCUUAGAGAUAGCUUCUCCUGCCAGACCAGAUAUUUGUUGAUGGGAUUAGAUUUCAUUGCAUUUGUAACUUCAUUUAUCUAUAUGUUCCAUCAAAGUUGCUUUUUCUUCUCAUGACAUUCUGUUCAUAUAUUUGAUAUUAUUCAAUGGUAUUACUUCAAAUAUCCAAAUAUCACCUCGCGGGUCAAGAAGAACCCACCCACCCAUAUCUCUCUUGGCUCUAUCCUCCCCAACUGCGAAGCUUCAAACCAACCAAAACCCAGAAGAUGGUUUUGACAUCCAUCGAUCUCCUUUUUCGAUCAAGCCAUGAUGGAUUGCAAAACCAGACAUUUAGGAUCAUGCCUCUCUUUAAGUUCAGGGUCCUCUCUCUGUUGCCUUUUAAUUUCCUAUUUCAAAAUCUUGGGUAUUCUUAUAAAAAUUUAGGGAUUCAGAGUGAAUGGACUUGAAAUUGGAGAGAAAUAGAUAAAAUUUUGAGGUAAGCGUAGAAUGCCCAGAAAGGUGGAUUUGGAUCAGUGAUUGCAUGUUAGGAGUAAAUAUCAAAUUCUGAUCUUUAGUAUCAAAAACAAGGUCUAUGAUGAGUCUUGAGAUCUCAGUUGCUCACUUCGAUGUCUUCCUUCGAAGAUGAGAUUCAAUGGUGAGAUGACAAGAUUCAACAGAAAGAAUCAUGCGGGUUGAUUCAAGAUGCCAGCUUCAAGCAGUGAUGGAUAGAGGAGAUCAUUUUAUUAUUACAAAAAGAAAAUCCCUUUUUCACUGCUGGAUGGUUGCCAUGCAUUUUCAUUUGAAUAAUUGAUUCCAGCUUCUUAUUGUUCAGGAAAAGUUGAACAGAAGGAGCCUGCAAAGCCAGCUUCAGUUAAGACUAAUGCUGUCAAAGACGAUGACCCAGAGCAGGUUGACAUGAUCCGACUGGAUACAAAACAGAUGCCAAAAAUGCAAAGCCUCUGCAACCACUCAUCUAUUGUAACAUGAACCUUCAUGCACUGAAGCAGAGUUUGGAUCAAUUAGAUGCAACAAAAUUUUCCUAGCUUUUCUAAACUUUGCAAACUUUAUCAGAAUAAUAUUCAUUCUUGAUAUAAGUCCAGUGCCUGCGUUACUUUCUCGAUGUACAACUUCCGGUGCAAUCUAUACCUGCACAAGUCCAGACCAACAAUUAAAUCUUCAACGCAGUAUUAAGACAGAGCUAUG